AUAGCUAUUUCUUGGUGUUACAUACAGCUACUGGCAGCUGCACAGUGGUUUGCUGUUGUUUGUCAGAGCACUAAUUAACUUGGAUUAGAAGAAAUCUCAUUCUGAAUGACUGCCCUGUCUGCUUGGUCCUGCCCCUGAAGGCUCCAGUUCGUUUGCAGCACCAGGGCCUUGUGGCUCCAGCUCAUGUGCAGCUUCAGGUCCAGCUCAUGGAUGGUGCCAGCUGGUUUGUGAGUCUGUUUGGUUGCAGCUGCAGCUCAUGGGCAACUCUGGCUGGAGCUCGUUUGCACCUUCAGGCCCAGCUGGUUCCUGCUUCCAGUGUGUUUUGGGCUCCUGUCAGUUACAG
Apus apus (common swift) is the source of this 343-nucleotide long non-coding RNA. RefSeq lists it as uncharacterized. NCBI's taxonomy places the organism in Eukaryota, Metazoa, Chordata, Aves, Apodiformes, Apodidae. The record is from RefSeq and is a predicted model, not a curated record. The transcript has 4 exons.